This 794-nucleotide ribosomal RNA is filed under the name Arthrobacter sp. Its description in RNAcentral is "bacterial SSU rRNA". It matches the Rfam family "Bacterial small subunit ribosomal RNA", at positions 60 to 862 of the family's 1533-position model. Lineage: Bacteria; Bacillati; Actinomycetota; Actinomycetes; Micrococcales; Micrococcaceae. The record is from RNAcentral.
AGUCGAACGAUGAUCCGGUGCUUGCACCGGGGAUUAGUGGCGAACGGGUGAGUAACACGUGAGUAACCUGCCCUUGACUCUGGGAUAAGCCUGGGAAACCGGGUCUAAUACCGGAUAUGACUGCCGGCCGCAUGGCCUGGUGGUGGAAAGCUUUAUUGCGGUUUUGGAUGGACUCGCGGCCUAUCAGCUUGUUGGCGGGGUAAUGGCCCACCAAGGCGACGACGGGUAGCCGGCCUGAGAGGGUGACCGGCCACACUGGGACUGAGACACGGCCCAGACUCCUACGGGAGGCAGCAGUGGGGAAUAUUGCACAAUGGGCGCAAGCCUGAUGCAGCGACGCCGCGUGAGGGAUGAAGGCCUUCGGGUUGUAAACCUCUUUCAGUAGGGAAGAAGCGAAAGUGACGGUACCUGCAGAAGAAGCGCCGGCUAACUACGUGCCAGCAGCCGCGGUAAUACGUAGGGCGCAAGCGUUAUCCGGAAUUAUUGGGCGUAAAGAGCUCGUAGGCGGUUUGUCGCGUCUGCCGUGAAAGUCCGGGGCUUAACUCCGGAUCUGCGGUGGGUACGGGCAGACUAGAGUGCAGUAGGGGAGACUGGAAUUCCUGGUGUAGCGGUGAAAUGCGCAGAUAUCAGGAGGAACACCGAUGGCGAAGGCAGGUCUCUGGGCUGUAACUGACGCUGAGGAGCGAAAGCAUGGGGAGCGAACAGGAUUAGAUACCCUGGUAGUCCAUGCCGUAAACGUUGGGCACUAGGUGUGGGGGACAUUCCACGUUUUCCGCGCCGUAGCUAACGCAUUA